Molecule: ribosomal RNA, 253 nt
Filed under: uncultured bacterium
Lineage: Bacteria
Description: partial 16S ribosomal RNA
Rfam family: Bacterial small subunit ribosomal RNA
Source: RNAcentral
AACGUAGGUGGCGAGCGUUAUCCGGAUUUACUGGGCGUAAAGCGCUUGUAGGUGGUUUUGUAAGUUGGGCGUGAAAUCUCCGGGCUUAACUUGGAGAGGCCGUCCAAUACUGCGAGGCUAGAGGUUAUUCGAGGAAAGUGGAAUUCCUGGUGUAGUAGUGAAAUGCGUAGAUAUCAGGAGGAACACCGGUGGCGAAGGCGGCAUCCUGGACCGGUAUUGACGCUGAGGCGCGAAAGCUAGGGGAGCAAACGGG